UCAUUUUUCCUAUAAAUUGUCUGUCCUCCCUUUCCUCUCAAUCUCAUUCUAUUCACUUCACCAACCACAUAGCAAAAGAGACAGUAAGGAGAAAGAUGGAGGCAUUUCAGUCUUGGGUUUCAGAACACAAGCUCACUGCCAUUGCAGCCGUUUGGGCAUCAGCAAUUGGGGCUUCACUAGCUUAUAAUAGUCGUGGAGGAAGCUCUCUUAAGCCAAGUCUGAGGCUUAUCAUGCAAGGAUGCACUCGCAAGCCUUAACUCUAGCGGUGCUGUCUGCAGCAGCUUACCAUUACUAUGAAAAGAAUGCCAGCAGUCAAGACAAGGUCAGCACCAAUGCCUAGAACAGAUUCAUAGUUCAUAAUAUGUAACAUUGGAAUCUUUCUUUUAUUAAUGGUUGAUGACGAUGAAAAUGUUGGAAUUAAUGAUAUAUCAGUUAUAAUCCCUGUUUAGUUUCUUUCA
Hibiscus syriacus is the source of this 458-nucleotide long non-coding RNA. RefSeq lists it as uncharacterized. Lineage: Eukaryota; Viridiplantae; Streptophyta; Magnoliopsida; Malvales; Malvaceae. The record is from RefSeq and is a predicted model, not a curated record. The transcript is spliced from 3 exons.